GAUGAGCAUGCGUCCCAUUAGCUAGUUGGUAAGGUAACGGCUUACCAAGGCAACGAUGGGUAGGGGUCCUGAGAGGGAGAUCCCCCACACUGGUACUGAGACACGGACCAGACCCCUACGGGAGGCAGCAGUGAGGAAUAUUGGUCAAUGGGCGCAAGCCUGAACCAGCCAUGCCGCGUGCAGGAUGAAGCAUCUAUGGUGUGUAAACUGCUUUUGUACGAGAAGAAACACUCCUACGUGUAGGAGCUUGACGGUAUCGUAAGAAUAAGGACCGGCUAACUCCGUGCCAGCAGCCGCGGUAAUACGGAGGGUCCAAGCGUUAUCCGGAAUCAUUGGGUUUAAAGGGUCC
This 349-nucleotide ribosomal RNA is filed under the name uncultured Bacteroidota bacterium. RNAcentral's name for it is "bacterial SSU rRNA". It matches the Rfam family "Bacterial small subunit ribosomal RNA", at positions 224 to 570 of the family's 1533-position model. Lineage: Bacteria; Pseudomonadati; Bacteroidota. The record is from RNAcentral.